Molecule: ribosomal RNA, 497 nt
Filed under: uncultured bacterium
Lineage: Bacteria
Description: partial 16S ribosomal RNA
Rfam family: Bacterial small subunit ribosomal RNA
Source: RNAcentral
GACGAACGCUGGCGGCGUGCCUAAUACAUGCAAGUAGAACGCUGAAGAGAGGAGCUUGCUCUUCUUGGAUGAGUUGCGAACGGGUGAGUAACGCGUAGGUAACCUGCCUUGUAGCGGGGGAUAACUAUUGGAAACGAUAGCUAAUACCGCAUAACAAUGGAUGACCCAUGUCAUUUAUUUGAAAGGGGCAAAUGCUCCACUACAAGAUGGACUUGCGUUGUAUUAGCUAGUAGGUGAGGUAACGGCUCACCUAGGCGACGAUACAUAGCCGACCUGAGAGGGUGAUCGGCCACACUGGGACUGAGACACGGCCCAGACUCCUACGGGAGGCAGCAGUAGGGAAUCUUCGGCAAUGGGGGCAACCCUGACCGAGCAACGCCGCGUGAGUGAAGAAGGUUUUCGGAUCGUAAAGCUCUGUUGUAAGUCAAGAACGAGUGUGAGAGUGGAAAGUUCACACUGUGACGGUAGCUUACCAGAAAGGGACGGCUAACUACGUG